RNAcentral lists this ribosomal RNA (115 nucleotides) under Staphylococcus sp. Lineage: Bacteria; Bacillati; Bacillota; Bacilli; Caryophanales; Staphylococcaceae. The record is from RNAcentral.
UCUGGUGGCAAUAGCAAAGAGGUCACACCUGUUUCCAUGCCGAACACAGAAGUUAAGCUCCUUAGCGCCGAUGGUAGUCGGACUAACGUUCCGCUAGAGUAGGACGUUGCCAGGC